RNAcentral lists this ribosomal RNA (489 nucleotides) under uncultured bacterium. Its description in RNAcentral is "partial 16S ribosomal RNA". It matches the Rfam family "Bacterial small subunit ribosomal RNA", at positions 28 to 507 of the family's 1533-position model. The record is from RNAcentral.
GACGAACGCUGGCGGCGUGCUUAACACAUGCAAGUCGAACGGUGAAGGGAUCAGCUUGCUGGUCCUGGAUGAGUGGCGAACGGGUGAGUAACACGUGAGUAACCUGCCCCCUUCUUCUGGAUAACCGCAUGAAAGUGUGGCUAAUACGGGAUAUUCUGCGCCUGCUGCAUGGUGGGUGUGGGAAAGAUAUUGUUUCGGUGGGGGAUGGGCUCGCGGCCUAUCAGCUUGUUGGUGGGGUGAUGGCCUACCAAGGCGGUGACGGGUAGCCGGCCUGAGAGGGUGGACGGUCACACUGGGACUGAGACACGGCCCAGACUCCUACGGGAGGCAGCAGUGGGGAAUAUUGCACAAUGGGCGCAAGCCUGAUGCAGCGACGCCGCGUGAGGGAGGGAGGCCUUCGGGUUGUGAACCUCUUUCGCCAGUGAAGCAGGCCUGUCCCUUGUGGGUGGGUUGACGGUAGCUGGAUAAGAAGCGCCGGCUAACUACGUG